This 468-nucleotide ribosomal RNA is filed under the name uncultured bacterium. Its description in RNAcentral is "partial 16S ribosomal RNA". It matches the Rfam family "Bacterial small subunit ribosomal RNA", at positions 28 to 507 of the family's 1533-position model. The record is from RNAcentral.
GACGACCGCUGGCGGCGUGCUUAACACAUGCAAGUCGAACGGAAAGGCCCUGCUUUUGUGGGGUGCUCGAGUGGCGAACGGGUGAGUAACACGUGAGUAACCUGCCCUUGACUUUGGGAUAACUUCAGGAAACUGGGGCUAAUACCGGAUAGGAGCUCCUGCUGCAUGGUGGGGGUUGGAAAGUUUCGGCGGUUGGGGAUGGACUCGCGGCUUAUCAGCUUGUUGGUGGGGUAGUGGCUUACCAAGGCUUUGACGGGUAGCCGGCCUGAGAGGGUGACCGGCUACAGUGGGACUGAGAUACGGCCGAGACUCCUACUGGAGGCAGCAGUGGGGAAGAUUGCACAAUGGGCGGAAGCCUGAUGCAGCAACGCCGCGUGCGGGAUGACGGCCUGCGGGUUGUAAACCGCUUUCGCCUGUGACGAAGCGUGAGUGACGGUAAGGGGUAAAGAAGCACCGGCUAACUACGUG